AGCUUGCUCUUCUUGGAUGAGUUGCGAACGGGUGAGUAACGCGUAGGUAACCUGCCUUGUAGCGGGGGAUAACUAUUGGAAACGAUAGCUAAUACCGCAUAACAAUGGAUGACACAUGUCAUUUAUUUGAAAGGGGCAAUUGCUCCACUACAAGAUGGACCUGCGUUGUAUUAGCUAGUAGGUGAGGUAAUGGCUCACCUAGGCGACGAUACAUAGCCGACCUGAGAGGGUGAUCGGCCACACUGGGACUGAGACACGGCCCAGACUCCUACGGGAGGCAGCAGUAGGGAAUCUUCGGCAAUGGGGGCAACCCUGACCGAGCAACGCCGCGUGAGUGAAGAAGGUUUUCGGAUCGUAAAGCUCUGUUGUAAGUCAAGAACGGGUGUGAGAGUGGAAAGUUCACACUGUGACGGUAGCUUACCAGAAAGGGACGGCUAACUACGUGCCAGCAGCCGCGGUAAUACGUAGGUCCCGAGCGUUGUCCGGAUUUAUUGGGCGUAAAGCGAGCGCAGGCGGUUUGAUAAGUCUGAAGUUAAAGGCUGUGGCUCAACCAUAGUUCGCUUUGGAAACUGUCAAACUUGAGUGCAGAAGGGGAGAGUGGAAUUCCAUGUGUAGCGGUGAAAUGCGUAGAUAUAUGGAGGAACACCGGUGGCGAAAGCGGCUCUCUGGUCUGUAACUGACGCUGAGGCUCGAAAGCGUGGGGAGCGAACAGGAUUAGAUACCCUGGUAGUCCACGCCGUAAACGAUGAGUGCUAGGUGUUGGAUCCUUUCCGGGAUUCAGUGCCGCAGCUAACGCAUUAAGCACUCCGCCUGGGGAGUACGACCGCAAGGUUGAAACUCAAAGGAAUUGACGGGGGCCCGCACAAGCGGUGGAGCAUGUGGUUUAAUUCGAAGCAACGCGAAGAACCUUACCAGGUCUUGACAUCCCGAUGCUAUUUCUAGAGAUAGAAAGUUACUUCGGUACAUCGGUGACAGGUGGUGCAUGGUUGUCGUCAGCUCGUGUCGUGAGAUGUUGGGUUAAGUCCCGCAACGAGCGCAACCCCUAUUGUUAGUUGCCAUCAUUCAGUUGGGCACUCUAGCGAGACUGCCGGUAAUAAACCGGAGGAAGGUGGGGAUGACGUCAAAUCAUCAUGCCCCUUAUGACCUGGGCUACACACGUGCUACAAUGGUUGGUACAACGAGUUGCGAGUCGGUGACGGCGAGCUAAUCUCUUAAAGCCAAUCUCAGUUCGGAUUGUAGGCUGCAACUCGCCUACAUGAAGUCGGAAUCGCUAGUAAUCGCGGAUCAGCACGCCGCGGUGAAUACGUUCCCGGGCCUUGUACACACCGCCCGUCACACCACGAGAGUUUGUAACACCCGAAGUCGGUGAGGU
This 1372-nucleotide ribosomal RNA is filed under the name Streptococcus thermophilus. RNAcentral describes it as "bacterial SSU rRNA". It matches the Rfam family "Bacterial small subunit ribosomal RNA", at positions 77 to 1436 of the family's 1533-position model. Lineage: Bacteria; Bacillati; Bacillota; Bacilli; Lactobacillales; Streptococcaceae. The record is from RNAcentral.